CCUGUGUCAGUGUUUGUUAAACCAGAACGUAGUUGUAUUUUUUUUAAAAAAAUCAUUGGCAACCUCUAGAGAGACUAGAUAUUAAGAUAGAGUUUAAAAUAUAUGCAUAUAUUUUCCAUGCAUUUAACUGCCUUGUUUUACUGCCUAGGCACAUCCUUUGGUAUGGUCUUUAUUGUACUCAGCAUUGUUUCCUGCUGGAUUAUUCUAAAGCGCAAAAAAAGGCAGUAAUAGAGAUGAAGAACCUAAAGAAGUAAAUAUUCAUUUACAACCCCAAGAAGGCAGCUGUGAUCAUGCAAAAAGUCUGCAAACAAAUCAGGAACAUAACAGUGUCAUUCCUGGAUAAAGUACUAAAAAGCUGGAGAAUGCCUCAAAUUAAAAUCAUCAUUGGAAAAGAGCCAAUUCAUUGCAACAGAAUUAGACCUGAGACUCAUAAAUCCUUUGAAGUGACUUCACAGAGAUGCAGGCAUGUGCACUGAAGAUGCUGAAGCUCUCCCAAUACCUCAGGAAGCUCCAUCCUCUUAGUUUGCACACUGUCACCUCUUUCCUUGUGCUGAAAGCACACAUUGUCUGGUCGGAGGAAAGACUGCACUUAGAAUAUAUAAACAGUGUCAAUUACUCAAAAGAAGAAGGUGUGACCUAGGAUUUCUGUUAAUAAGUUUGCCAUUUGUCUUUCUUAUGUUUAAUUGUUUAUGUAGAUGACUCUUGAACAAUGUGGGGGUUAAGUGGUCCCACCUAAAUAGAAAAGGUCUUUCUGAUCUGUGGUUUGCUAAAUUCUGGAUGUGAAAUCCCAGGAUAUGGAGGACCACCAGUAUAGUUAUUAAAAAACAUCCACAUAUAAGUGGUCCCAUGAAGUUCAAACUCCUGCUGUUCAACUGUUAACUGUAAUAUGGAAUGGAUACAUUUAAGGAGAAUUGAGAAAGCACAGGAGGAAGAUAUAAAAAACAAAUGUCACCUGUAACUAUACUACCCAAUGAUAACCACUGUUAAUGUUUGAAUUUACAUUCUUUCUUUGUAUAUGUUUCUUUAUACACACACAUAUAUAUUUCUUUCUUAAAUACCUUCCCUUUUGUUUAUAGAGCAGAAUCCACUUUUUUAACACAGAUUGAAGUAAAUGAAUGCUAUAUCAUUUUUCAAUUUCUAAAGAAAAAUAAGUAAUUCCUGUUUACUAAAAUCACAUUAAAUGACUAUAGGAAAGUUGGGUCAAGAAUAUUCAUGGGAAAUGUCUGGAAAAAAUAAAUUUUGUAUAUUUCCUAAGGUCUAUAUCAAAAGUACUUUGUACUAUGUUCUGUUUUAAAAA
Long non-coding RNA from Phyllostomus discolor (pale spear-nosed bat), 1297 nucleotides. RefSeq lists it as uncharacterized. NCBI's taxonomy places the organism in Eukaryota, Metazoa, Chordata, Mammalia, Chiroptera, Phyllostomidae. The transcript is spliced from 3 exons. The record is from RefSeq and is a predicted model, not a curated record.